This 253-nucleotide ribosomal RNA is filed under the name uncultured bacterium. RNAcentral describes it as "partial 16S ribosomal RNA". It matches the Rfam family "Bacterial small subunit ribosomal RNA", at positions 524 to 776 of the family's 1533-position model. The record is from RNAcentral.
UACAGAGGUCCCAAGCGUUGUUCGGAUUCAUUGGGCGUAAAGGGUGUGUAGGUGGCGCCGUAAGUCGGGUGUGAAAUCUCGGGGCUUAACUCUGAAACUGCAUUCGAUACUGCCGUGCUUGAGGACUGGAGAGGAGACUGGAAUUUACGGUGUAGCGGUGAAAUGCGUAGAUAUCGUAAGGAAGACCAGUGGCGAAGGCGGGUCUCUGGACAGUUCCUGACGCUGAGGCACGAAGGUCAGGGGAGCAAACGGG